AUAGGUUUGGUCCCAGCCUUCCUGUUAACUUUCAAUAGACUUAUACAUGCAAGCAUCCACGCCCCGGUGAGUAACGCCCUUCGAAUCACACAGGACUAAAAGGAGCAGGUAUCAAGCACACACUCUUGUAGCUCACAACGCCUUGCUUAACCACACCCCCACGGGAGACAGCAGUAACAAAAAUUAAGCCAUAAACGAAAGUUUGACUAAGCCAUAUUGACCAGGGUUGGUAAAUCUCGUGCCAGCCACCGCGGUCAUACGAUUGACCCAAGCUAACAGGAGUACGGCGUAAAGCGUGUUAAAGCACCAUACUAAAUAGAGUUAAAUUUUAAUUAAACUGUAAAAAGCCAUAAUUAUAACAAAAAUAAAUGACGAAAGUAACCCUACAAUAGCUGAUACACCAUAGCUAAGACCCAAACUGGGAUUAGAUACCCCACUAUGCUUAGCCCUAAACACAAAUAAUUAU
This 466-nucleotide ribosomal RNA is filed under the name Ovis aries (sheep). Its description in RNAcentral is "partial 12S ribosomal RNA". The record is from RNAcentral. Lineage: Eukaryota; Metazoa; Chordata; Mammalia; Artiodactyla; Bovidae.